GAAAAGAAAGACAAACCCUCCUUACCUCUGGAACAGCCUUCAUUCCUGUCACUGAGCAGGCUUUGCCUCUGUGGUUGCCACAGCUGUCGACUGUGCUUACUUGUUUACUGUCAGCACUUGUUCCGUGCUCAAGGCACACUGCUGAGUUUAGAGACAAUCUCCUCUUCCCAGCUUGGCUGAUUGCUGUGGGGAGGAGAAGAGCAAGGAAGAGCUCUGAGGAAAACACCCUUGAAGAAAAUGGGAGGGAGGGAAACUGUGACAUUUCUGCAAUUCUCCACCCACCUUCUCCACAAGAAAAUUAGCUGCAUUGUUCCCUUCUGCAAUUCCUUCUGACCGUGGGUCCUUCUGGUUGUUGGCUCUGUUUGUUUGUUUGUUUGUUUGUUUGUUGGAGUUAGACUGAAAUCUAUGUGAAGAGAAGGAUGUGUUUCUACAUCUCCCCUCAGCUACUUGCUUCUUUCCUCUCUAACGGCCUUGCUAUCGAAGCCUGUUUGGGUCUGAUAUUUUCCCUUUUCUCAGCCUGCUCAACCUGAUGUCCCACGGACUGGAGGCCUCUGUCUAUAGCGAGAUGCUGUGGGCUAUGGAUACUAUUGUUCCUCCUCUUCCAAAAGAAAGGCCGACGUGCUGACUUGGAUUUGGCUCUCUCUGAUCUGCAUCCAGCUGUGCAUUCCAGCGGCGAACGCAGGUCCAGGAAAGAACGUAACAGAGCAGAGAUCUAUCAGAACCACCAAGGGUCAGAAAUGCAUCAGAGAGACCUCUUUGGGAAAAGACCAGAUGACAACAUACAACUAGAAAAGGCCUUUGAGGGCUUCCACAGCAUACUUCUUCACCCUGAAGGUGCCAUAUGAGGCGACCACUAUGGUGACAGUGGUUGUAAGCAAAUCUCCAGUCAGAGGUCAAAUCAUAAAGACUGUGGUGCAUGGGCUGCAUCCCCCUGCAGGUAGCUCAUGGAGUUCCUCUUCCCGCAGGUCUGGAGCUGCAGUGAGCAUAGAAGUGCAGCAAAGCCUUUCCCAGCUCAGCAGCAAGCACUGAAGGCACACGCCCACUACUCUCCAGGAAGAUGGAGCGGCUGCAGUGGGAAUGGAGAGGAACGGGGAGCAGUGGUGCAGGGGUGCUGGGGUGCAAGUAGCACUUCCUAAAGGCAGCUGGGGUCCUGGUGAUGCUUCCUGCUGUGGGGCACCACUCAGCUCCUGCGGGGGUAGGGGCUACCUGGGGACACGGCAUC
This is a long non-coding RNA of Lagopus leucura (white-tailed ptarmigan), 1222 nucleotides long. RefSeq lists it as uncharacterized. The record is from RefSeq and is a predicted model, not a curated record. The transcript is spliced from 3 exons. Lineage: Eukaryota; Metazoa; Chordata; Aves; Galliformes; Phasianidae.